UGGGGAAUUUUGGACAAUGGGCGCAAGUCUGAUCCAGCCAUGCCGCGUGCGGGAAGAAGGCCUUCGGGUUGUAAACCGCUUUUGUCAGGGAAGAAACGAGUUUCUCUAAUACAGAGACUUAAUGACGGUACCUGAAGAAUAAGCACCUGCUAACUACGUGCCAGCAGCCGCGGUAAUACGUAGGGUGCGAGCGUUAAUCGGAAUUACUGGGCGUAAAGCGUGCGUAGGUGGUGGUUUAAGUCUGCUGUGAAAGCCCUGGGCUCAACCUGGGAAUUGCAGUGGAUACUGGAUCACUAGAGUGUAGUAGAGGGAUGCGGAAUUUCUGGUGUAGCAGUGAAAUGCGUAGAGAUCAGAAGGAACAAACGUGGAGAAGGCAAUCCCCUGGACCUGUACUGACGCUCAUGAACGAAAGCGUGAGGAGCAAACA
This 427-nucleotide ribosomal RNA is filed under the name uncultured bacterium. Its description in RNAcentral is "bacterial SSU rRNA". It matches the Rfam family "Bacterial small subunit ribosomal RNA", at positions 355 to 774 of the family's 1533-position model. The record is from RNAcentral.